AUGAGAAAACAUAAUACCAAGUUACAGAUUUGCCUAAAAACCAGCCACUUCCAUUUUUCCUUUUUUUUUCUGUUGGGGGAUUUAAUCCAGAGCAAAAAAGAGAGAUCUCUGGAAGCUGGUCUCACAGCAAAGAUGUAUGAUGCUGUCAUGUAUCUAUGUAUGGCUAUUAUGGUGGCACUCAAAUUCAAAUGUCAUCUGCGUGAGAUGAAUUCACUCUUGGUGUUUGCCUCUGCCUCCCGUUCUUCUGCAACAGUAGAGUCCAGCAUUGACUAAAGCAAGGAAUGGGCUAAUGGAGACCCUCCAGAUCUCUCUGUGUUCCCAGGUUAAUCUCUCUAAAUGAGAUUCUCUGUGUGGCUGCCAAGUUCACCCUACGCGAUAUUUAAAUCCAUGAUACAGAAAAAGAAAAUGGGAUUGCAGUGUCCUUAUGAUCAGUUUCUUAAUAAUUAGCGGGAUUCAAAGUGUCUAAUUUCAAGGAAAGCUGUGAGAGUAAUUUCAUGUAAAUAUCCUAAGAUUUGGUGUAAGGCAUUCAAAAAACUGGAUGUGUUACCCAAUGCUAGAAAAAAUUAAUAUAACACCCAGUCCCUUCCAAUAGACUCAGUUGUGUCCUGGUUUUGCUUAUGUGGGUCAAACUUGGGAGGAGUUGGGCUGAUUUAAAAUCAAUGUACAUUCCAUUACAUAUAGGUCCUCUGGUUUUUAUAUGCAAAUCUUUGUGUAGCCAUGUAUAGUCUUAGAAAUGGAUUAGUGCCUUCACUGUAUCCUGAGGUGCAGUGUAUUGGAGCGCCUUUCACAACAAAGUUUGCUUGGAAUUAGUCACUGCACUUUGAAGUUGUUUUUGCUUUUUGAACACCGAUAUUAUCGGUGUAUGCUGCUUUUCUUCUUUAAAUGGCCUAAGGAUGAAGAGCUGAAACUUGUGUGUAGCAUCAGCAGCUUGUUCAGAAAGUUGGCCUGAAUAAAAGUCUGGCCUGAUUUGGGUGAGAAUCAAAAUAAAUAUGAAGUGACAGGCUUACCAUUUCCCUCAUCUUGGAAAGGGAUAAAGAGAGCACAGAACAGGAAUUGGCUCAGUUGUCAAGAAGGGACUAAGAGAAGACCCAGUCAUACCAAGUGCCUGUGAGCUGGUCUGUUCCUGGAGUAGAUUACAGCAAAAUACUGAUGAUUGCAUUGGUUUUUACUGUCCUAGGCUGCAUUACGUGGAAGUGUGCAAGAAGGGAGAGUGGAUAGGAAUGAAGCUGAUAACUCUCUUUCUCUGACCCGCAGCAAGAAUGUGCUUGGGUGAGAAGGAGGGAGUUUAAUGAUGCACAUGAGCAUAUGAGCUGAUGGUUGGGAAUCCUGGGCUAGUAGCUCAAAAUGGACAAGAAACUGUGUUGGUGAAUCAAAAGUAGAAGCUAGAGGUAUCUUGGGAUUUGUAAGGAGUGUAAGUGAAGAUAAGCACAAAUUUGUUGGGGAGUACUAAUUACUGAACAAGCAAAAGUGGGCUGCUUCUGUGCAGCCAGGAAAACAUAAGGAAAACCUCCCAAAAGUGGACUAAAAGUCCUUAAAACUUCAUGAAAGAGGUGGCAGAGCCCUAUGUGAUACUUAUUUCAUUACCUAUCACUGCUUAUGAAACCCCACCUUUGGAAAGAUCUCCAGAUUUUAGAAAUACGAUGUCUCCAGGAGAACUUGUGAAGGUCAUCAGGUGGAUUUUGAUCCUCUAGACUAAAAAUCGUGGAAAUGUGAAUACAAUGUAGAAGGUGAUUGUUUCAGAGGUCUGUUUGGUCUAGGACUGUAUGUGUCUAGUUCUCUGUAGUGAUAGUUUAGCAGUCCUCAAAGCCCCGGCUUAGGGCAUCUUGAGUUUUGUAGAAAUAACCCUAUCAAUACUGGAGUCUCUUCUGCACACUGGCAAACCAUAAUAAAAUUGUCUCUGCUAGUAGAAGGAUCUGUACAGAAGUUAUACAGGAUCAACUCCUCUGCAGCAGUUCUCAGCACUUGAAAGAGUUCAUGGGUGGCCAGGUCUCUGGAGCAGAUACAGACCAGCGCAAGAGUUACUGCAAGAGGAUAACAGGCUUUGGUGCAUUUAAGUUGUACAGUAGAGCUCAUCAGUGUGCAGUAUGCUUUCCACCUUUCCUCUAAGGACUUUGCAAUGUCUCCUGGGCAUGAAAUUGAGCUCCUUUUCCUGAAGGAUUGGCAAGCAUUCAUUCUGUAUACUGAGAGGCUGUGAUUCAGAGGGCUAAACGACAUGCCUAUCCUGUAAUAGUGAGCGUGCGUCUGGGAAGAAUGGAGUUAUUGGUGUACUAUUCAAGUUUGAAAAAAGCUCAGUUCAGAUUGGAUCAAGUUUACUUUUUUGCCUUUUCCUUAAAAAAUAAUAAGAAAAAAUUCAGUAUGUCAAAAGAUGCAUCUUUUCAGAGUGAGACGAAGUCUCCUGUUUUCAGACCCUUGUGCAGCUGACCGAAGGAGUGAUAUGCUGUAGUGUCCCCAGUAGCAGUGGAUUUGACAUCCUGGAGACCCUUAUUUCUUUACCUUGUCAUUCAGUCAUCAGCACAGGUACCUGGGAUGUCAGAUUACUGUUCAGUGUUAUCCUGUGCUCAGAAGAAUUUGAACAUAUUGCCUGAACAAAAUGCCCCAGGUAGCAGGCUGAAGUGUUUGAAUGGCUGUCCAUUUCCCUUGAUUAGGCUGUUAGUUAAGAAACUGGAUAUUAAUCUGAAAGCAAAGCAAGGCAAACAUCCCAUUUUUAAGCAUGUGACCCAACCUUAACCAUAACAUCACAGAUCCUUGCUCUUUUGCUAGGUGACUAAGGGAGUGAUCAAGAACACCCAUUUGUAAUGUGUCUCUGUAGCAUGGUUUCCUGAUCACAGUGGUCUCCUGGGAGGUUCAGAUCUCUUAAACAAACUGAACACAGAUCCUUCACUUCCUUAGGUGAAUGCUCAAGCCACUGAGACCAGCUUGUCUUCUGGAGGCUUUGUGAGUCUUGUCUGAAUUUCUUGGAUGCUGUUCAGCGGGAGGGGAGAGGAGGUAGAAGAAUUGGGAGUUGAGUGCCCCCCUGGGAAGAAGGAGGGGUGGGGAGAAGGUGGUUUUAGUUUUGUUCUUAUUUCUCACUGUCAUGGUUUAACCCAAGCCAGCAAAUAAGCACCAUGCAGCUGCUCACUCACUUCCCCCCAACCCAGUGGGAUGGGGGAGGAAAUUGGGAAAAAAAAGUAAAACUUGUGGGUUGAGAUAAGAACAAUUUAUAGAACAGAAAGGAAGAAACUAAUAAUAAUAAUGGUAACACUAAUAAAAUGAUAAUAGGAAUAAUAAAAGGAUUGGAAUAUGCAAGUGAUGCACAAUGCAAUUGCUCACCACCUGCUGACCGAUGCCCAGUUAGUUCCUGAGCUGCAAUCCCCCCCACCCCCAGUUUAUAUACAGGGCAUGACAUCCCAUGGUAUGGAAUACCCUGUUGGCCAGUUUAGGUCAGCUGUCCUGGCUGCGUCCCUUCCCAACUUCUUGUGCCCCUCCAGCCUUCUUGCUGGCUGGGCAUGAGAAGCUGGAAAAUCCUUGACUUAGUCUAAACAUUACUUAACACACUGUUUUUUUCAGUUGUUGCUAUCAACAUUCUUUUCAUACUGAACCCAAAACAUAAGACUAUACCAGCUACUAGGAAGACAAUUAACUCUAUCGCAGCUGAAACCAGGACUAAUUUCCCUGAAGUCAAGUCUGGUCUGCCCAUGACAGUAACUAGUGAGUGAGUCUUUAUCGCAACUGAUGAGCUUUUCCAUCAUAUUUUCUUCCCAUGUCCUGUUGAGGACAAGGAGUGAUAGAGCAGCUUGGUGUGCAUCUGGUGACCAGCCAAGGUCAACCCACCACAAUGCUGUAAGUGUCAGACAGCCAUAACCAGUUAGACUGGAGCUGUGUCCAGUAAAGCAUGCAAAUCUUUAGAAAACAGCCUCUGACAGUAAGGAAUCCUGGUGGUUUGUUUCUAUGAAAGGUACUUCUGGAGUAUAAUAAAAGAGAAAGCACAAAUCUUACUACUGACCUCUGGCCAUGUAACUAUUGAAAUCCCAGUAUCACAGCUCCUGUAGAGGUUGCUUCUUGCCAAAAGCACUUCACUUAUGGGAUUAGAAGGGAUAUCUUGUUCAACAGUAUGCAUUUACUAUGCAUUCAGCUCAACUGUUUCUUCUUGAUGAUCACAUCUGUGACACCCAGAUGCCAUUGCCUCCAGGCUAGCCACUGAACAGAGCUAGUGGCAAAAGGCAAAUGCCUGUGGUCCUGACUGUAUUCACUCCACAGUGAACUGUGAGUGUCUUAUCAAGAGACGAGAAUGGUCUUGAACCAGCGGAUUAUCUUACUUUCACUAAAUGGUAGGUAUUGAAAACAAUUUCAACACAGGGAUCAAGUCCUUUCUCCCAGAGAAAAGGUACACACGCAAAACUUUCUGUUGAACUACAGGGCAAAGGUUUACUUCAUAUUUGCAUUGUCUUUUUACUGGUAAGGACUGGUCUGGAGUUCAAAUCUCUUACUAAUAACUUCUGAUUUUGUCAUGUCUUUACUGGAACGAGGAAAUAUGAGCAGAUUUUUCUUUCCUUUUGUUAAUAAAAGGAGUUUUAACAACAUUUCAUGUUGCUUAGUUGUGGUAAAAGUCUGGUCACUUGUUUUAUUUCAGUAUCUCGGGAGGUUAUCUAUUAAGUCUUUAUGGGGUUAAAAAUGAAUCCAGAUGUGUUUAUGCAGUAUCUGCUUUAAUGCAGUAGGCACAGCUGUUUUUUGGAUGUAUCCUGGCUAGAUUCCAACAUGAGCAGUCACAUUUUCCCUGUCUCUGAACUCCCUUGUAGUUUUUACUAUCAACAAGAACACAAAACCCACAAGAACAUUACUAAGCUUGGUAUUUCCAAACAACAUUUGGUGAGUGUCCCACUGCUAUGAGAAGAAAUUUUGAGAAUCAGGUAUUUAUAAAUUCAUCUGGAGUUGUGGGUUUUUUUGCCUACUAGCUUUUGAAC
This 4940-nucleotide long non-coding RNA is filed under the name Accipiter nisus (Eurasian sparrowhawk). RNAcentral's name for it is "lncRNA (ENSANIG00000001714.1)". The record is from RNAcentral. Lineage: Eukaryota; Metazoa; Chordata; Aves; Accipitriformes; Accipitridae.